UACGUAGGGCGCAAGCGUUGUCCGGAAUAUUGGGCGUAAAGAGCUCGUAGGCGGCCUGUUGCGUCCGCUGUGAAAUCCCGGGGCUCAACCCCGGGCCUGCAGUGGAUACGGGCUGGCUAGAGGCAGGCAGGGGAGAACGGAAUUCCUGGUGUAGCGGUGAAAUGCGCAGAGUAUCAGGAGGAACACCGGUGGCGAAGGCGGUUCUCUGGGCCUGUACUGACGCUGAGGAGCGAAAGCGUGGGGAGCGAACAGG
This 253-nucleotide ribosomal RNA is filed under the name uncultured bacterium. RNAcentral's name for it is "partial 16S ribosomal RNA". It matches the Rfam family "Bacterial small subunit ribosomal RNA", at positions 524 to 776 of the family's 1533-position model. The record is from RNAcentral.